RNAcentral lists this ribosomal RNA (468 nucleotides) under uncultured bacterium. RNAcentral describes it as "partial 16S ribosomal RNA". It matches the Rfam family "Bacterial small subunit ribosomal RNA", at positions 28 to 507 of the family's 1533-position model. The record is from RNAcentral.
GACGAACGCUGGCGGCGUGCUUAACACAUGCAAGUCGAACGGAAAGGCCCUGCUUUUGUGGGGUGCUCGAGUGGCGAACGGGUGAGUAACACGUGAGUAACCUGCCCUUGACUUUGGGAUAACGUCAGGAAACUGGGGCUAAUACCGGAUAGGAGCUCCUGCUGCAUGGUGGGGGUUGGAAAGUUUCGGCGGGUGGGGAUGGACUCGCGGCUUAUCAGCUUGUUGGUGGGGUAGUGGCUUACCAAGGCGUUGGCGGGUAGCCGGCCUGAGAGGGUGACCGGCCACAGUGGGCCUGAGAUACGGCCCAGAGUGCUACGUGAGGCAGCAGUGAGGAAUAUUGCACGAUGGGCGGAAGCCUGAUGCAGCAACGCCGCGUGCGGGAUGACGGCCUUCGGGUUGUAAACCGCUUUCGCCUGUGACGAAGCGUGAGUGACGGUAAUGGGUAAAGAAGCACCGGCUAACUACGUG